This 2406-nucleotide ribosomal RNA is filed under the name Cylindrocystis sp. M3009. RNAcentral's name for it is "partial 23S ribosomal RNA". It matches the Rfam family "Bacterial large subunit ribosomal RNA", at positions 164 to 2475 of the family's 2925-position model. Lineage: Eukaryota; Viridiplantae; Streptophyta; Zygnematophyceae; Zygnematales; Mesotaeniaceae. The record is from RNAcentral.
AUAUAGGCAGACAAGAGACAACCUAGUGAACUGAAACAUCUUAGUAGCUAGAGGAAAAAAAAGCAAAAGCGAUUCCCUGAGUAGUGGCGAGCGAAACGGGAACAGCCUAAACCGUUAUAAUAAGCGGGGUUGUGGGGAAGUAUUCUAACUUGACAGAAGCUAGGUGAAACAGGUAAGUUGUUAAAACGGCUAAAUACUGUACCCUAGAUGGUGAAAGUCCAGUAGCUGAAAGUUUCGUCAACUUUUACUUUAACCCGAGUAGCAUGAGACACGUGAAAUCUUGUGUGAAUCAGCGAGGACCACCUCGUAAGGCUAAAUACUCCUGGGUGACCGAUAGCGAAGUAGUACCGUGAGGGAAAGGUGAAAAGAACCCCCGUUGGGGAGUGAAAUAGAACAUGAAACCGUAAGCCUACAAGCAGUGGGAGGAGAAUAAAAUCUCUGACCGCGUGCCUGUUGAAGAAUGAGCCGGCGACUUAUAAGCAGUGGCCUGGUUAAGAGUAUACCGAAGCCAUAGCGAAAGCGAGUCAUACCAUGGCGCAGUCACUGUUUAUAGACCCGAACCCGGGUGAUCUAUCCAUGGCCAGGGUGAAGCUUGGAUGAAACUAAGUGGAGGUCCGAACCGACUGGUGUUGAAAAACCAGCGGAUGAGCUGUGGUUAGCGGUGAAAUGCCACUCGAACUCGGAGCUAGCUGGUUCUCCCCGAAAUGCGUUGAGGCGCAGCGGUUGACUGGACUGUUUAGGGGUAAAGCACUGUUUCGGUGCGGGCUGUGUAAACGGUACCAAAUUGAGGCAAACUCUGAAUACUAGACACGACCAGCAGUCAGCCAGUGAGACGAUGGGGGAUAAGCUCCAUCGUCAAAAGGGAAACAGCCCAGAUCACCAGCUAAGGCCCCUAAAUGGCCGCUCAGUGAUAAAGGAUGUGGGAGCGCAAAGACACCCAGGAGGUUUGCCUAGAAGCAGCUACCCUUGAAAGAGUGCGUAAUAGCUCACUGAUUGAGCGCUCUUGCGCCGAAGAUGAACGGGACUAAGUGGUCUGCCGAAGCUGUGAGAUGUCUAAAUAAAAAACAUCGGUAGGGGAGCGUUCCGCGCUAGGCAGAAGCAUUAGUGUAAGCAGGUGUGGACGAAGCGGAAGUGAGAAUGUCGGCUUGAGUAACGCAAACAUUGGUGAGAAUCCAAUGCCCCGAAAACCCAAGGAUUCCUUCGCAAGGUUCGUCCGCGGAGGGUGAGUCAGGACCUAAGACCAAGCCAAAUGGUGUAAUCGAUGGACAACAGAUUAAUAUUUUUGUACUGUUUUUGUAUUGCUAAAGAGGGACGGAGAAGGCUAAGGAUAACCAAAUGCUGGUUAUUGGUUGAAAGGAAAUAAACAUCCGAAGGAAAUACACAUAUGAUGGAAAUAAACAUCAAAAAAAAAUAAACAUCCGAAGGAAAUAAACAUCCGAAGGAAAUAAACAUCCAAUGGAAAUAAACAUCCGAAGAAAUAAACAUCCGAAGGAAAUAAACAUCCAAUGGAAAUAAACAUCCUAUAUUAUCUACGCCAUACUUCCAAGAAAAGCUCAAAUAUAGCGAAUAAGCAAAAACACCUGUACCUGAAACCGACACAGGUGGGUAGGUAGAGAAUACCUAGGGGCGCGAGAUAACUCUCUCUAAGGAACUCGGCAAGAUAGCCCUGUAACUUCGGGAGAAGGGGUGCCUUUUUUAAAAAGGCCGCAGUGACCAGGCCCAGGCGACUGUUUACCAAAAACACAGGUCUCCGCAAAGUCGAGAGACGACGUAUGGGGGCUGACGCCUGCCCAGUGCUAGAAGGUUAAGGAAGUUAGUGACAUGAUAAAGUGAAAGCUGGCAACCGAAGCCCUGGUGAACGGCGGCCGUAACUAUGACGGUCCUAAGGUAGCGAAAUUCCUUGUCGGGUAGUUCCGACCCGCACGAAAGGCGUAACGAUCUGGGCACUGUCUCGGAGAGAGACUCGGUGAAAUAGACUUGUCCGUGAAGAUGCGGACUACCUGCACCUGGACAGAAAGACCCUAUGAAGCUUUACUGUUUCCUGGGAUUGAGUUUGAGUCCCUCUUGCGCAGUUUAGGUGGGAGGCAGAGAGAAUAUUCUUCUGGGAAUGUUGGAGCCAUCAAUGAGACACCACCCUAGAGGGACUAGAAUUCUAACCUUAACCUAUAAGAAGGUCGAGCAACAUUCCCAGGUAGACAGUUUCUAUGGGGCGUAGGCCUCCUAAAGAGUAACGGAGGCGUGCAAAGGUUUCCUCAGGCUGGACGGAAAUCAGUCUUCGAGUGCAAAGGCAGAAGGGAGCUUGACUGCAAGACCUACACGUCGAGCAGGGACGAAAGUCGGCCUUAGUGAUCCGACGGUACCGAGUGGAAGGGCCGUCGCUCAACGGAUAAAAGUUACUCUAGGGAU